This 380-nucleotide ribosomal RNA is filed under the name uncultured eukaryote. RNAcentral describes it as "partial 18S ribosomal RNA". It matches the Rfam family "Eukaryotic small subunit ribosomal RNA", at positions 592 to 976 of the family's 1831-position model. The record is from RNAcentral.
CAAUAGCGUAUAUUAAAGUUGUUGCAGUUAAAAAGCUCGUAGUUGGAUCUGUGGUGUGCGGUGGGCUCCGGGCACUUGUUGUCUGAGUAGCUCGCCGCUGCCAUCCUUGGGUGGAACCUGUGUGGCAUUAGGUUGUCGUGCAGGGGAUGCCCAUCGUUUACUGUGAAAAAAUUAGAGUGUUCAAAGCAGGCUUAUGCCGUUGAAUAUAUUAGCAUGGAAUAAUGAGAUAGGACUUUUUCGCUAUUUUGUUGGUUUGCGCGAAGAGGUAAUGAUUAAUAGGGACAGUUGGGGGUAUUCGUAUUCCAUUGUCAGAGGUGAAAUUCUUGGAUUUUUGGAAGACGAACUACCGCGAAAGCAUUUACCAAGGAUGUUUUCAUUAA